This 253-nucleotide ribosomal RNA is filed under the name uncultured bacterium. RNAcentral describes it as "partial 16S ribosomal RNA". It matches the Rfam family "Bacterial small subunit ribosomal RNA", at positions 524 to 776 of the family's 1533-position model. The record is from RNAcentral.
UACGUAGGGGGCAAGCGUUGUCCGGAAUUAUUGGGCGUAAAGAGCGCGUAGGCGGUCCGAUAAGUCGGCUGUGAAAGUCAGGGGCUCAACCCUUGAAAGCCGGCCGAUACUGUCGGACUAGAGUCCGGAAGAGGCGAGUGGAAUUCCCGGUGUAGCGGUGAAAUGCGCAGAUAUCGGGAAGAACACCCGUGGCGAAGGCGGCUCUCUGGGACGGUACUGACGCUGAGACGCGAAAGCGUGGGGAGCGAACAGG